RNAcentral lists this ribosomal RNA (387 nucleotides) under uncultured bacterium. RNAcentral describes it as "bacterial SSU rRNA". It matches the Rfam family "Bacterial small subunit ribosomal RNA", at positions 28 to 412 of the family's 1533-position model. The record is from RNAcentral.
GAUGAACGCUAGCGGCAGGCCUAACACAUGCAAGUCGAGGGGCAGCACGUCUUCGGAUGGUGGCGACCGGCGCACUGGUGCGUAACGCGUAUGCAACCUACCUCUUACAGUGGGAUAGCCCAGAGAAAUUUGGAUUAAUACCGCAUAGUAUACAGAUUCAGCAUUGGGACUGUAUUAAACAUUUAUGGGUAAGAGAUGGGCAUGCGUUCUAUUAGUUAGUUGGAGUGGUAACGGCACCCCAAGACAGCGAUAGAUAGGGGCCCGUCGAGAGGGGGAGUCCCCCACCACUGGUACUGAGACACGGACCAGACUCCUACGGGAGGCAGCAGUGAGGAAUAUUGGACAAUGGGCGAGAGCCUGAUCCAGCCAUGCCGCGUGCAGGAAGAC